This is a long non-coding RNA of Lolium perenne, 720 nucleotides long. RefSeq lists it as uncharacterized. The record is from RefSeq and is a predicted model, not a curated record. NCBI's taxonomy places the organism in Eukaryota, Viridiplantae, Streptophyta, Magnoliopsida, Poales, Poaceae.
CGUUCGGUGACAGAGUUUUUAGAAGUGUUUGGGCCGGUUUUGGGGUGUUUUUUUGGGGCCCAAUCAAAACACCCGAAAACACCUCAAAACACGUUUGGGCUGUUCGGUAGGCCGGUUUUGGCCCGUUUAGGCCCGACGAAACUCGGCGAAACCCGUCGGGCUGGAGUGGAACUAAAACGCUUCACCCCCCUCGCGUUUUCUCGCGGCUGGCGACGAGGGCGACGCGGCGACGAGGCAGGAAGACGACGCCGCGACGCUCCUGGCGCCGCCGGCCGGGAGCUCCUGCCGCCGCCCCUCAUCGUCAAGCUUGAUUCCUUUGGUACAUAUCGAUGAGCACGGCUUAGAGAAAACUUAUGUUCAUGCUGCCCUUUUGCUCUGCUUGAAGUUGUCAGAGACCAUGCCUGAAGAUAUUUACUGCUGGCACUUAGCUGAAAUAAUAGUGGAUAAUUAAUUGUGUAGCAAGUCUUUAGCUUCGGUGCCUGAAGAUAUUUGUUGUUGGAACUGAGCUGAAAUCUUAUUUAUUUGCUGUUAAGAUCUGAGCUGAAACCUUAUUUAUUUGUUGUUGGAACUGAGCUGAAACCUUAUUUAUUUGCUGUUAAGAUCUGAGCUGAACCAAUGAUUGAAGAUAUUUGAUGUUAAAUCUUAUUGAAUUUGUAUUUGAAACACUGUACCAAUUAUUGAAUUUUUAUCUAUUCAAUGUAAUUAUUGAAUUUCUAUCUA